GGCGUGGCUCCUUCCCGAUGGUGAGCGAAUUGGUACGAGUUGGAAGGCCCAUCCCAGACCUUGUGCCCCACUCAACUAGGAUGCGGAGAGACAUUACCUGGUGCCAGCCUAACGCGAGAAAGAGAAGUAAACAAACUAUGCUGUGUGAUGAGAGCUCUCGAGCUCCAGAAAAGGCCUGAGCCAGGGGGCAUCUCAGAGGAGGUGACUGAGGGACUGAGAAGGUAUCCCCGGCAUCCACAGGGAUGUGGGGGGCAGGGUGGGCUCAGGGCGCUGCCGACCCCAGGGGUCCCCCACCCCCGGGCUCUGCAGGCUGUCAGGUGCCAGAAAGCCUGAGAUCCCAAGCCAUCGAAAUGAAGGCAACAGCCGUGGAGAGGUCAAGGACAACUGCACUGGAAGAGUGAACGCCCUGACCACAGCGGGCCAGAGAAGCGGCUCCGGGAUCAGCACCUGUACUGAACACACUGCUCAUCACACCCCUGACUCCUUCCUUCGGCCGCGGCAUUUUCGGGAGGGCCCGCAGUCAUCCAACCCCGGCCAGGAUGCCGCUUUGGCUUGCAGAACCUCCGUAACCCCGUGUCCUCUGGAUCACCCUGGGGCCCUGCCCUCCCUGCCCCCCCAGGACAGUCGUCACCAUCACUGCGGUUGGAAGCACCACGGUGGUGGGCGACAUCUGCUGCGCACUCACCACGUAGGAGGUGCUGGCCUCGCCCUUUGGGUGUGUCUGUGAGUUCCGUGCCCACUUUACAGACAGGAAGACCGAGAGAGGCAGAGGCAUCCGUCCAGGAUGGCGCGCUUGACGCGCCCUUGAGUCGUGGAUUCAGGCUCCGGGGAAAAGUCUGGGCCCUGAGUGUGGCGGGCUGGAAUGUCCGAACCGAAGCCCGGCUGGGGCUGGAGUCUUUGAUGGGGGGGGGGGGGGGGGCCUUGGCGGGGCUGGGGAGGCGGGGACGGGGCUGGGAGGUCGCGGAAAGCCAGGGGCCGGAAGGCAGCCUGCAGGCCCGGGAGAGAGGGCAGACGUGAGAGGAGGACGCGCGGACCCCUCCGCCCCUGAGCAGGAAGUGGCGCGCACACGCUCGUGCACACGUGGCACACGCGCACCGGCACGCGCCCAGGCAGCGCCCCCCCCCCCCCCGGACCCGCACACACACGCAUGACGCACACAUCCAGGCACGGCCUGCACGAUGCACACACGCGCACGCACAGCUGUGCACGCGUGCACGCAAAUGCACAUGCGCACGGGCGCGAACACGCCACAUGCUCGCGGAACCUCAGAACAGACCAUCUGCCCAUCUCUCUCCUUAGCAAUUAUCAUGGUGCAUUCAUUCAUGCAAUGAGCAUAUGUUGAGCCAUUUUCGGUGCCUGGCCGGGGGCGGGGACGGGGUGGGGAGGGGAGGGUGGUCCCUGCAGCCUCAGCUGAGAGGACCCAGAGAGGACCCACAGUCCCGACCCGACUGUCCCCCUGGCCGGCCUGAAGGCAGGGGUGGGGGUGUGCUGAACCGGGCCGGCCAGCCUCGGGCCCAGGAGGGCCCCACACUGACUCCUGUCCCCCCAUGGGAGCUCCCAAGGGUGGGGCCCUCAGCACCCAGCUAGGGGAAGGAGGGGAGAUCAGGGGAGGGGCCACAAGUAACACCCUAACUCUCCCCAUCUUCCUCCCCUCCCCCUCUCUCCUUCCCUCUGCCUAAUCCCCUCUUCCCCCAGCCUCUCCCUCCCUCCCUCUCUCCUUCUCACAAAUGCAUCCCUCAGUUUCCCUAUCUGGGCAAUGGGCGCGUGCCAGCGCCUUCCUCACUGAGCUGCGAGGGGAAUGCUUCACAGAGGGGGCUUGGGCCGCUGCCCUUCCUCUAGGCAAGGAUCAGCCUGUGCCCCGAGUGUGGCAGCAGGACCCCCGCACCCUACCCUGCGCGCUUUUGCGCCCCAUCCCCCUCCACACACACACACACUUGGCCACGUUGCGCAGCCUGGCUGGUCGCACCCUCCCCCGCCUCGGUGGAGCUCCCCCUCAAGUCCCGGGCAGUGACAAGUGCGAGGCCCGCGGACCCCCCCUGACCCUGGCUGCAGGGCUCUGCUCAUUGAUCCAAAGAAGCUCUUUCCUUUCCCUCAGGCGCUUCUCUGAAGGAUGGAAAAAUCGAUGCCCGCAGAAGAGCGGGUGCAGGGAAGGAUACCCCGCACGAUGAAAGCCGUCUGUCCUGCCCACCUUCUCUGAAAGACCAGGGGAUGUUACUCCAGAAGCAUCUGUGGGAGAGGGACAGCGGUCCAGCUUUCAGACUGGCACAGACCCCAGGUCUCUGAGCAGGGGCAAAUGAUGGAGGAGGUCUGUGCAGCUUCUAACGUUUGUGCCUGGUCUCUGCGGCCUGAGGUUUCUCUCCGGCACCGUCCCCACCAUUGUCAUCGAAAAGUGCCUUCACCGCUUGGCUUCAUGGUGGAUGUCAGGAUAAAUCGGCCAAUAAUCCAGGAGAGUUUUGCAAACCACAGGAGCUAGGGAAGGGCCCAGGCCCUAACCCCUUCCUCUGUCUGCUUGGCAAAGCUGACCUCCCCAGCAGUCUUCCCAUCUCGGAGGCCUCAUUCUUGUGCCCCCAGAUCAGCAGUCUGUGAAAUCAAACACAUUUAUUGAGCACCUAAUUUGCUCCAAGUAGCUCUGGGGGAGAGAAAGAUGGAAUCAUCUGGUUCCAACCCUCGUGGUACAAUGGUUUCCAUCUUCCUGAUUUAUUUUAUUUUUUAAUAUUUUUUUCAAUGCUUCUUUAUUUUUGAAAGAGAGAGAGAGAGAGCGUGAACGGGGGAGGGCCAGAGAGAGAGGGAGACACAGAAUCUGAAACAGGCUCCAAGCUCUGAGCUGUCAGCACAGGGCCCGACGUGGGGCUCCAACUCACAACCCAUGAGAUCAUGACGUGAGCCGAAGUCGGUCGCUUAACCGACUGAGCCACCCAGGUGCCCUAUCUUCCUGACUUAGAGCAUGGUGUCCAUUUGUUAUCAUGGUUCGUGAUGGUUUUUUGAUUAAUGACCUCACUGGACUCUUGCCAGACGGGCAGACUCAUGAGGGUGGGACGUCUGGACCCUUGGUGAUUAGCACAUCUAGGACUCGGUAGGGCUGCCUGGAGGAGAGGCCAUCUGAACUAGGCUUUGAAGGGUGGAUAGGAGUUCGGGGAACAUAAGGUGGGGUGGGGCCAGGAAAGAGGGGCAAAAUCUCUCCCUCUCGGAGUCUCCUCAGUCCACACCUGGCACCGUCCCUUGACCGUGUUCACACGUGGUUUCUGUUGCUACAUGGAGAGUUUUCCUCUCCGGAUCGUUUGAGAGGCUGAACAGCCUUUUAUUUCUUUUGGGAGAGAGAGGAGGGAAGGGGCAGGGAGAGAGGGAGAGAGAGGGAGAAUCCCAAGCAGGCUCUACACUGUCAGCACGGAGCCCGGCGCGGGGCUCGAACUCACGGACCGUGACCUCAUGACCUGAGCCCAAAUCGAGAGCCGGACGCUUAGCCGACUGAGCUACCCCGGCGCCCCCUCUGCUUUAUCUUUUUGAAGCAGAUAGAAGUGAUGCCCGUCCCACCGUGGCAGCCUCAGACUUGUCAUUACUUUUCCAACAGGCCCGUUCGUGGCUGGGUCUCCUGGACGCGAACCAAAAGCCAUUUGCUUCAGAGGCAAGAUUUGAGUCAGGCCCAGCUGGGUUUUCCCACCCUUUAUUUGCCCGGUCCUAUUAAUAAUUAAUGGUACAGUAAUGAGAAUUGCUUUUAAUAGAAUCUGCUGCCAUCACGGCAUUCUGUUCCCCGCCAAGGGUUUCCCCCAAAAGGAUUCGCGCUUACAUGGCUGAGCUUCCUGCCCACAGGCACCACCGGGAAGCGGAAGGUCCCCUGCUGUUGUCCUUCCCAGCCCCUCCUCUCUUCUGGCCCGAGCCCCUCUUUCUCCGCUGCCAUUUCCUAUCCCCCACCCCACCCACCCCCAAACCUCGCCCACCAUCCCCCAGAGGUUCCCACAGCUGCCCUAUCCAGCCCAGCCAAGCGUGGCCCCGUGGCACUGUCACGCCUCAUCUGUCACCAGGGCAAACUGGUCCCAUCGGGCAAGGGACAGGGCCGUCUGGAAGCUGCUUGUGCGCCCCAGCCUGGGGCGGGCAUGAGACCCACACUGCGCACACAGGAGGCUACCUUCUGGAUGUCGUGUCCCCCUCUCCCCCCACAACCCCUGGGAGGGGACCAUCACCUACGGCAAGGGCCAGGAGGACGGGCGUGGCCCAAAGGCCCCAGCCAGGCCAGGUUGGGUCCCGGCUUGACUACUGUUUGUGACACGUGGGACGGUGUUGUCACCCUUGCCCCCAAGUCUCCACUUGUUCAUCUGCAGAACAAGGAUGCCGAUGGUCCCUACCCCACCAGAAUAUUCCGGGGAGAAGGGGAGCCAAUGGGGCGGGGCGGGGUGGGGGGUAGGGAGCAGAGCUCAGGGGAGCACCUGGAAAAUAAAAUCCACCAUGUACCCCGGGCUUUAGCUCUUCAAGAUGUAUUUAUUGUGGUGUUGUUUAUGACAUCACAACUCGGAACCCACCUCUGCGUUCCCUAAUACAGGGCUGGCUUAGAAGUGUGAGCGCAUCCCUCCCAUGGGCCAAGGGGCCGUUUUUGGACGGGGGGCUUUGGGACUGCUUCCCAAACCGUGCUGUGCCGAGGAACCCCCUGGGAAUCCUGGGGAAAGGCAUGUUCUGGGGAUUGGGGCUGAGAUCCCACCCUUUGAACAGCUGCUAGGAAACACUCCCCGAGUACCGGUGGGGCAGGGGCUCUGGGUGGUGCAGAAACUCGGGUCCUGCCGGUGAAUGGAAGAACCAGGUUGCAAAGCGGAGUACGUCCUGUGAUUCCCUUCCCAGGCCCGAAGCUCAGCCCGAGCUCCAUGUUCACUGCCAAGCCCGGAGACCGGAAGCUCACGCGCCCAGAGUACUUCUCUGGAUGGGUGAUGAAUUACAGAUAAUUUUAAAAUUUUCUUUUUGGUUCAUCUUAAUUUCAAAA
Molecule: long non-coding RNA, 4966 nt
Organism: Acinonyx jubatus (cheetah)
Lineage: Eukaryota; Metazoa; Chordata; Mammalia; Carnivora; Felidae
Exons: 4
Source: RefSeq, a predicted model, not a curated record